RNAcentral lists this long non-coding RNA (1378 nucleotides) under Sus scrofa (pig). Its description in RNAcentral is "lncRNA (ENSSSCG00055030952.1)". Lineage: Eukaryota; Metazoa; Chordata; Mammalia; Artiodactyla; Suidae. The record is from RNAcentral.
UUUUUUUUGUCUUUUUUUUUUUUGCUAUUUCUUUGGGCCGCUCCCACAGCAUAUGGAGCUCCCCAGGCUAGGGGUCUAAUCGGAGCUGUAGCCACUGGCCUAGGCCAAAGCCACAGCAAAUUGGGAUCUGAGCCGCAUCUGCAACCUACACCACAGCUCACCGCAACGCCGGAUCGUUAACCCAUUGAGCAAGGGCAGGGACCGAACCCGCAACCUCAUGGUUCCUAGUUGGAUUCGUUAACCACUGCGCCAUGACGGGAACUCCCCUCCUUCAUUAUUUUAUUGCCUCUUUCCUUUGAGCUGGGGUACCAGGUUAUCACCCUCCACUCAUGAUCUACAAAUCUUAAGAGAAAAAAGCACUAAGAGUAUUACACUCAGUGAAAUAGGUCAGGCAGAAAAAGACAAAUACUGCAUUAUCUCACCUAUGUGUGCAAUCUAAAAACAAACAAACAAGCUCAUGCUCUAGAUACAUAGAACAGAUGGUUGACUACCAGAGAUGAGGUGGGGGGAAGGGAAUGUGUGAAGGGAGUCAAAAGAAGGUACAAACUUUCAGGUACAAAAUAAGUCAUGAGGAUGUAAUACACAGCAUGGUCUAGUUAAGAGUACCGUAUUUCAUAUUUGAAUGUUGUUAAGAAAGAGUAGAUCUUAAAAGUUGUCAAAAAAAAACCCCACAAAAUUCUGUAAUCAUAUAAGGUGAUUGAUGUUACUUGACUUACUGUGGUGCUCACUUCACAACAGAUACAAUACACAUCAUAGCCUAUGUCAUAUUAAUCAGUCACUGAGGGAGAGCUUCUCUCUGGCAUUGUUAAUUCCCUGGUACUCCUAGGCUACUGCAUAGGCAAGGGAAGAAUAACUUUCAGUGCAUUGGGAAAAAUCCCUUGGGCACAGAGAUGCAGACUCUGACAGUUGGAAAGGGUCUGAAGCAGGCUGAAUACACACUCUGAGGGUGUAGUUGGACAGCGUGAGGACACCGACAGCAAACGCUAUACCUACCAUGGUAUCACUCAUAUGUCAUUUCAAGUUAUUUAAAGAUACAAAUUACAUACCACUAUGGAAAAUUCUUGAAAUACUUAUUCAGUAUACUCUGGCGAUCAAUUCAAUGAACUAUGUUAAAACGCAAGAAAGGCGAAAUAGCAGUGAACACACAGAAAUGUAUCUAAUUACCAGUAAAUGUGGUAAUAUGUGUAAACUUAAAAGAAAAAUGUGAUUUUUGAAAGAGAAUAUUUAACUAUUAAAAGCCAAAUUAAUUCAGUGGUGUCAUGUUGCUGGCUGUUACCAACGGAUUGUACUCAUUAUGAUCAGAAAGAGGGAGUAGAGGUGAAUCAAAGUAAAAUUAUAUUAAAUUUAUCUUUUUGCACACAAAAUUUAUUUUUUUUAA